RNAcentral lists this ribosomal RNA (544 nucleotides) under Ostreococcus mediterraneus. Its description in RNAcentral is "partial Bacterial large subunit ribosomal RNA". It matches the Rfam family "Bacterial large subunit ribosomal RNA", at positions 215 to 810 of the family's 2925-position model. The record is from RNAcentral. Lineage: Eukaryota; Viridiplantae; Chlorophyta; Mamiellophyceae; Mamiellales; Bathycoccaceae.
GGAAAAGAAAUCAACCGAGAUUCCCUCAGUAGCGGCGAGCGAACGGGGACCAGCCCUUAAGCUGGACAACUGGUAGGAGAAGGCCCUGGAAAGAGCCGCCAUAGUGGGUGAUAGCCCCGUAUCCGAAACCUGAGUCCAGUGAAAUCGAGUAGGACGGGACACGAGACAUCCUGUCUGAACAUGGGGGGACCAUCCUCCAAGGCUAAAUACUCCUGACUGACCGAUAGUGAACCAGUACCGUGAGGGAAAGGCGAAAAGAACCCCUGUGAGGGGAGUGAAAUAGAUCCUGAAACCGUAUGCGUACAAGCAGUCGGAGCGGACUUGUUCCGUGACGGCGUACCUUUUGUAUAAUGGGUCAGCGACUUAUGUUCAGUGGCGAGGUUAACCGUUUAGGGGAGCCGUAGGGAAACCGAGUCUGAAUAGGGCGAUUUAGUCGCUGGGCAUAGACCCGAAACCGGGCGAUCUAUCCAUGAGCAGGUUGAAGGUUGAGUAACAUCAACUGGAGGACCGAACCCACUGUCGUUGAAAAGCCAGGGGAUGACUU